This 140-nucleotide ribosomal RNA is filed under the name uncultured eukaryote. RNAcentral describes it as "partial 18S ribosomal RNA". It matches the Rfam family "Eukaryotic small subunit ribosomal RNA", at positions 1299 to 1458 of the family's 1831-position model. The record is from RNAcentral.
UGGUGGAGUGAUUUGUCUGGUUAAUUCCGUUAACGAACGAGACCUCGACCUGUUAAAUAGUUCAACGAUGGUCCGCCAUCGGUUGUGACUUCUUAGAGGGACUAUCGGUUUGUAGCCGAAGGAAGUUCGAGGCAAUAACA